Molecule: ribosomal RNA, 180 nt
Filed under: BTEX-degrading bacterium enrichment culture
Lineage: Bacteria
Description: partial 16S ribosomal RNA
Rfam family: Bacterial small subunit ribosomal RNA
Source: RNAcentral
GGCAGCAGUGGGGAAUAUUGGACAAUGGGCGAAAGCCUGAUCCAGCCAUGCCGCGUGCGUGAAGAAGGUCUUCGGGUUGUAAAGCCCUUUUGUUGGGAAAGAAAAGCAUUCGGUUAAUACCCGAUUGUUCUGACGGUACCCAAAGAAUAAGCACCGGCUAACUUCGUGCCAGCAGCCGCG